Molecule: ribosomal RNA, 788 nt
Filed under: uncultured Sulfitobacter sp.
Lineage: Bacteria; Pseudomonadati; Pseudomonadota; Alphaproteobacteria; Rhodobacterales; Roseobacteraceae
Description: bacterial SSU rRNA
Rfam family: Bacterial small subunit ribosomal RNA
Source: RNAcentral
CUGGCGGCAGGCCUAACACAUGCAAGUCGAGCGCACCCCUUCGGGGGCGAGCGGCGGACGGGUUAGUAACGCGUGGGAACAUACCCUUUACUACGGAAUAGCCUCGGGAAACUGAGAGUAAUACCGUAUGUGCCCUUCGGGGGAAAGAUUUAUCGGUAAAGGAUUGGCCCGCGUUAGAUUAGAUAGUUGGUGGGGUAAUGGCCUACCAAGUCUACGAUCUAUAGCUGGUUUUAGAGGAUGAUCAGCAACACUGGGACUGAGACACGGCCCAGACUCCUACGGGAGGCAGCAGUGGGGAAUCUUAGACAAUGGGCGCAAGCCUGAUCUAGCCAUGCCGCGUGUGUGAUGAAGGCCUUAGGGUCGUAAAGCACUUUCGCCAGAGAUGAUAAUGACAGUAUCUGGUAAAGAAACCCCGGCUAACUCCGUGCCAGCAGCCGCGGUAAUACGGAGGGGGUUAGCGUUGUUCGGAAUUACUGGGCGUAAAGCGUACGUAGGCGGAUCAGAAAGUAUGGGGUGAAAUCCCAGGGCUCAACCCUGGAACUGCCUCAUAAACUCCUGGUCUUGAGUUCGAGAGAGGUGAGUGGAAUUCCAAGUGUAGAGGUGAAAUUCGUAGAUAUUUGGAGGAACACCAGUGGCGAAGGCGGCUCACUGGCUCGAUACUGACGCUGAGGUACGAAAGUGUGGGGAGCAAACAGGAUUAGAUACCCUGGUAGUCCACACCGUAAACGAUGAAUGCCAGUCGUCGGGCAGUAUACUGUUCGGUGACACACCUAACGGAUUAAGCAUCC